RNAcentral lists this ribosomal RNA (129 nucleotides) under Octodon degus (degu). The record is from RNAcentral. Lineage: Eukaryota; Metazoa; Chordata; Mammalia; Rodentia; Octodontidae.
GUCUACAGCCAUGCCACCCUGAACGCGCCUGAUCUCAUCUGAUCUGGGAAGCUAAGCAGGGUAAGGCCUGGUAAGUACUUGGGUGGGAGGAUCAGCCUUUGCGCUAUAGGAAUCCAAGUAGUCAAAACU